AUGCAGUCGAACGGCAGCACGGUCUAGCUUGCUAGAUGGGUGGCGAGUGGCGAACGGGUGAGUAACGCGUAGGAAUAUGCCUUAGAGAGGGGGAUAACAUGGGGAAACUCAUGCUAAUACCGCAUACGUUCUUAGGAAUAAAGCUGGGGACCUUCGGGCCUGACGCUUUAAGAUUAGCCUGCGUCCGAUUAGCUAGUUGGUAGGGUAAGGGCCUACCAAGGCGACGAUCGGUAGCUGGUCUGAGAGGAUGACCAGCCACACUGGGACUGAGACACGGCCCAGACUCCUACGGGAGGCAGCAGUGGGGAAUAUUGGACAAUGGGGGGGACCCUGAUCCAGCAAUGCCGCGUGUGUGAAGAAGGCCUGAGGGUUGUAAAGCACUUUCAGUGGGGAGGAGGAUGUUUUGGUUAAGAGCUAAGAUAUUGGACGUUACCCACAGAAGAAGCACCGGCUAACUCCGUGCCAGCAGCCGCGGUAAUACGGAGGGUGCGAGCGUUAAUCGGAAUUACUGGGCGUAAAGGGUGCGUAGGUUGUUUUGUAAGUUAUCUGUGAAAUCCCUGGGCUCAACCUAGGCAGGUCAGAUAAGACUGCAAGACUCGAGUAUGGGAGAGGGUAGUGGAAUUUCCGGUGUAGCGGUGAAAUGCGUAGAGAUCGGAAGGAACACCAGUGGCGAAGGCGGCUACCUGGCCUAAUACUGACA
This 700-nucleotide ribosomal RNA is filed under the name uncultured bacterium. RNAcentral's name for it is "bacterial SSU rRNA". It matches the Rfam family "Bacterial small subunit ribosomal RNA", at positions 55 to 745 of the family's 1533-position model. The record is from RNAcentral.